Molecule: ribosomal RNA, 466 nt
Filed under: uncultured bacterium
Lineage: Bacteria
Description: partial 16S ribosomal RNA
Rfam family: Bacterial small subunit ribosomal RNA
Source: RNAcentral
GAUGAACGCUGGCGGCGUGCUUAACACAUGCAAGUCGAACGGAAAGGCUCCUGCUUGCAGGGGUACUCGAGUGGCGAACGGGUGAGUAACACGUGGGUGAUCUGCCCUGCACUUCGGGAUAAGCCUGGGAAACUGGGUCUAAUACCGGAUAGGACCAUCGUUUAGUGUCGGUGGUGGAAAGUUUUUUCGGUGUGGGAUGAGCUCGCGGCCUAUCAGCUUGUUGGUGGGGUAAUGGCCUACCAAGGCGUCGACGGGUAGCCGGCCUGAGAGGGUGUACGGCCACAUUGGGACUGAGAGACGGCCCAGACUCCUACGGGAGGCAGCAGUGGGGAAUAUUGCACAAUGGGCGCAAGCCUGAUGCAGCGACGCCGCGUGGGGGAUGACGGCCUUCGGGUUGUAAACUCCUUUCGCCAGGGACGAAGCGAAAGUGACGGUACCUGGAUAAGAAGCACCGGCUAACUACGUG